UUGUGGAGGAGGACGCCGAAGGUGGGGCUGAUGACUGGGGUGAAGUCGUAACAAGGUAGCCGUACCGGAAGGUGCGGCUGGAUCACCUCCUAACAGGGAGACAAAUAAAUAGAUUGUGAUGUCUGAGUAGAUUUAUUCUCAGACCAUAAUCCUGUCACCUUAGGUCGAUCGGUACCUCUAAUUAAUAUCAGCUUCUCAAUGGAGUUUCUGUUGAGUAUUUGAAUUUGAUUUCAGUUCCUAAACUUGUCUAGGUCACACCCAAACAAUGGUACUCCUGGGCCAUUAGCUCAGGUGGUUAGAGCGCACCCCUGAUAAGGGUGAGGUCCCUGGUUCAAGUCCAGGAUGGCCCAUUCGAUUUUGGGGGUAUAGCUCAGUUGGUAGAGCGCCUGCUUUGCAAGCAGGAUGUCAGCGGUUCGAGUCCGCUUACCUCCACUGAUCGAAGACCUCCUGAAAAGAAGCCCAGGAGAUUUCUGUAUGUGUGAUUUAGACUUUAGUUAUAUCUGAAUGAUCCUAGCUUCCUGUCAUCCCUCAGCCUAAAUAAAUAAUAGGCUAGGUUGAUAAGACGCUGGGCUCACUACAUUUCUAAGGAUUUUGUAGAUGAAGUUCAGUAGAACCUUGACAACUGCAUAGGUGAGUCUGGAAAAGAAUAAAGCAUCUCAUAGAUGCAUAAUUCUUUUUAAUCAUUAAUAGGAUUAUCCUUAUGUGAUAUGUCUUAUUUUGAUUUGAAAGAAUAAUGUUCAAUUCUUAAAAUUAAGAUCUGAACUCUGUAGUGCUUUACUGCAGAGGAUAAUGGUCAAGCUACAA
RNAcentral lists this unclassified non-coding RNA (804 nucleotides) under uncultured Prochlorococcus sp. RNAcentral describes it as "partial 16S-23S ribosomal RNA intergenic spacer; may also contain 16S ribosomal RNA and 23S ribosomal RNA". The stretch from base 1 to 93 matches the Rfam family "Bacterial small subunit ribosomal RNA", at positions 1441 to 1533 of the family's 1533-position model. Lineage: Bacteria; Bacillati; Cyanobacteriota; Cyanophyceae; Synechococcales; Prochlorococcaceae. The record is from RNAcentral.